UCCUCGAUGGCUCAAGUGACUAGAGCAUCGGACUAUUUAUUCGGAGGUUGCGGGUUCGAGUCCCGCUCGGGGAG
Molecule: non-coding RNA, 74 nt
Organism: Harmonia axyridis
Lineage: Eukaryota; Metazoa; Arthropoda; Insecta; Coleoptera; Coccinellidae
Source: the annotation of a RefSeq genome assembly